RNAcentral lists this long non-coding RNA (5851 nucleotides) under Sus scrofa (pig). RNAcentral's name for it is "lncRNA (ENSSSCG00000053703.1)". The record is from RNAcentral. Lineage: Eukaryota; Metazoa; Chordata; Mammalia; Artiodactyla; Suidae.
AUAUCUCCGGCUAUGAAAACCUGUGUGUUUUGGGGGAGGGUGGUGAAGCUUAAGGGACCGAGUAUGUGUGUGUGUGUGUGUGUUUGUGUGUGUGUGGUGUCACCUGUGUGUGCCAGUGUGUGAAUGCAUGGACUUGUCCUUUCUCCUCUCCACCCAUUCAGAUUUGCUCUCAUCCUAAAAGGCCCAGGUCAAGCCUCCUCCCUUUUUUCUAGUUCCUAACCUCCCGCCAUCCCCUCUCUCAGUCAUUGCUACCCCCAUCCUUUGGUGGUGGUCUGGCUGGCUUAGAGGGGAUCUGCCUUCUAGAACUCCAUCUCGCACAAACUGCAGGGCUGGGUGGGGCUGUAGACACAUCCCGUCCCCUGAUCAGCCAUCAGCUUCCCUCUCCUGAGGCCAACUGCCCCCCGCCCAACCGCCAUGGGGUGCUUGAAUGCAGAAGGAGCUGGCAGCCUCAGCAGAGGCAGGUGGUGGCAGGCUCCCUGCCCCCGAGUGGCCAGCUGGCCCCCAGGCAGCAGGAUGCAGCUCCUCACUGCACUCUCUCAGUGAGCUCCCAGGCACAGGUUGGUCAGGGAGCCUGGGGACCCCAGAGACUUCCCCCACCCUCCCCCUAGAGGCCCCCAGUCUAGGGCCUUCUCCCUGAGCUCAGGCCCCCAAGGGGUGGUAGGCUCCUUCUGGUCUAAACCCUUUGUCCCUCUCUGUCCCCUACUUCCCAUGACACUGGUUCCUGUGGGAGCCCUUUCGCUUUUGCUGUAGGUACCAGAAGGUCCAUUUUCUUUAACCCACGGGGCGUCAGCCCUCACUCUUGGCAAGGUGAGCAGAUGCCAGAAGGCGUGGGGCCACGUCGGUCCACCAGCAGGCCAGGUUGUCCUUCCCUCAGUCCUGGCAAGGCAUGCCUCUGCCUCAGGGCCCUUGUUCUAGCUAUUUCCUCUGUCUGGAAUGUUUUCUUCCAGACCUUGCUUGGCUCCUUCUCCAAGCUUUUGUUGAAAUGUCACCUUUUCAGUAGGGCCUCCGUGGACCACCCAGUUUAAUACUGUGACCUGUGUACACAUGGGCACACACCCCUCUUGUCACCCCCCCCAGCACAGCCCCUCCCCCUCACCCCCCCAGCACAUUACAGCUCUCAGCGUGGUUCCAUCUCCUCUCUUCCCCUGUGUCACCUGCCACCUACUGACACACCUGACUUCACUUGCUUCAUCUACUGUGUCUCCCCAACAAGAAUAUUGACCCCACGAGGGCAGGGAUCUUUGUUUUGCUCGUGGAUGUUUCCCAAGUGCCUGGAACUGCUGGGCCAUUUUAGAUGCUCUACAGACCUUUGUACAGUGUUGUUAGGACUGUCACCCAGAGGAGAGCAGCUGCACAAGCAAAGGCUGGUCCUCUGAGGGGCCAGACGGGGGCUAGCUGUCGGACCCCGCAACCUGUGGUCAGAGGGGAUGGACGCUGUGCUCCCUCCCAGGGGAGGACCAGCUCCCUUCCACCCCACCUGCCCCCCUCCCUGGAACCACACCCCCAGGGCAGCCUUGCACACGUCUGUUGGCUCACACCUGCAGACCCUGCACCCAGGGCCCCACCUCCCGCCAGCCCUUGUGCACUCGCCCUUGACGUGGUGGCUGUGGUUUCAAGGCCUUAGAGGUGCAGAUUGGAGUCAGGGCAUCCUGUUCUCUGUGGCUGCAGCAGCAGGUGGGGGUGGGGGACAGGUUCCCCUGCAAACAGGCACACGCAAAGGCCCCUUCUCCCUGCCUUCUUACACACGCGAAUACACACAUGUGCACGCAGACAGAUGGACACCGGGUGGCCCCCGUAGGCUGGCAGCUCUUAGGCCCCAGGCACAGGAACCGAGCACCCAUCUGUAGCCGACCCACUGGGGGCAGGGAGCUGCUGGCUCCCUUCCCUGUGCCUGAGCUCCCACCUUCACAACUUCAUGCCCAGCACAUGGCCUGCCAACCUCAUCUCAGGUCUUUUCUUUGGGGGAAGUCUUGUUCUGCCGCCUUCUGUCCUAACCACAUCCCUGUGGGAGGGGUGGUGUAUUCAGCCCUCAGUGGGGUCCAGUUGUCCAGCCAGUCCUGGGAGCAUACUGAUCCCUGGCUCAGAACCCUGCCAUGGCUCCCCAAUGCCCGCCAGGUCCAACCCAAACCCCUGGUCCUGGGCCUCCCCUGCUCCAGGGAUCUCCACUUUGAGGAGAGGUGAGGGUGCCCUCUGGAGCCAGGCAUCCUGGUUUGAAUGCCAGUUCUGUGUGACCUCAGGCAAGUCGCUUAACCUCGCUGUGCCCCAGCGUCCUGCCUCACAGAGCUGUUGUGAGAAUUACAUAGGUUUAUAUAUGCAAAGCAUUUAGCACAGCACCUGCUCUGCAAGAAAGUUGUCAAUAAAUGAUAGCUGGAAAGGAUGUCUGUUUCCUGCCAGAAAGGACCUGAGAAAUGUCUUCCAAUGGGGCUUGUGGCUCAGCUCUCAGCUCUGGCCUUUCAGACUGAGCCAGCAGCUUCCAGGCCACCUGGGAGCUGGCUGGAGACUCAGAGUGCCAGGCCCCCUGGGAGUCCUAAAGCAGCAGGUGGGGGGAGGGGCCUGUACACUGUGGCCUGUAGCCAUUUGUGGGGUGGGAGUCCCCUAAGCCCCCAUCCCAGCCUCAGACUGGUCCACCACCUGCAUCCUCUGUCUUCUGGCCUUGCCAAGGCCCCUCUGCCUUGCAAGGCUCCUGCAGGAAGAAUGCCUGUCAACUUUGCCACCUCAGUGCCCACAGCUCCUAUUUUCCUAGAGCCUCAGUUCCUCAAGAAGAAAGGGAAUAAAAACACCCACAUCCAGGGAGGUCAGGGAUGAGCAGUGCACCACCGAGGCAGCCAGUCAGGGCUGAGUAUUGCUACUGGCUGCACCCCAGGCCUGGUGGGUCCCGCCUGCCAUGCUGGAGUCCCCGCAGGGAUGAGGGAAAGACCUGUUGAUGGAGGGGGGCUGGGAUGAACUCUGGGAGCUGAGAGGGAGCACAGUGACCUGGGAUGAACUCUGGGAGCUGAGAGGGAGCACAGUGACUGGAGCCGGAGGGUGGCUGGUGCUUCCCCAAAGCGGCCUGAAUGAGGGAGGAAGGAAGGGAGGGCGAGCUGAGCACACCCUGGGCCCCAGAGGAAGUUGAAAGCCAGGGCCGUGGUGUGACAGUUCAAGGGCCCUAUACCACAGCGCUCCACUCCACCCGCACCUGCUGACGUCAGUGGGAAGUGCAGGACCCCGGCACCCCACCCCACUGGCUCUGGGUCUGUGAGGCAGGGUCCCAGCCUGGAGCCUCCCCCGGCUCGUCUCUGCACAGGUGGGUGGCUGGUGGUCCCUUGUGUCUUUAGGUCAGCAUUGCCCUCUCCCUGAAUGAAAGGAGCACCUCUUCAUCUCACCCCAUGGGCUCACCUCUCCCAGGUGUGACCCUAGAGUCUAUUAAACACCUGUUAUAUACCAGGUGGUGACACAUCCACAAGCUCAUUUAAUCCUUCACAAUACCCAGAGGAAGGCAUUUUACAGAUAAGGAGACCACCUCAGAGAGGUUCAGUAACCUGCCUGAGGUUGCACAGCUUGGAGGUGGCCCAGCUGGCCUUCCAACGCAGGCCCCCCGACAUGGAGUUCCUCCCGCCACCUGUGGGCAGGUGGAUUCAUGGUGGAGGUGCCCUCAGGGAGCUGGAGCAGCCGGCCCUCUUGUUUGUCAAGGAGGAAAUGGACACCCAGCACUGGGAGUGAGUGCCCCAGGCCAUGCCACAGGCUCCUGGCAGAACCAGGCAGGAUUAGAGAACUUUCUUUUGGCACUGCCUGCCUGGUAGGAGGGGCUCUGCCGGGAAGUCUCCUUCCUUUACUGCCUCUGGGUCUCUGCUCAGAGGCUACCUCCACAGAGAGAAGCUUUUCAGGGCAGUUCCAGCAGAAGGAGAGCCCUGUCACCCUCAUCUCCUGGCCCCGCUUUAUUUUCUUUCAUGGCACUUAUACUGUCACUUGCAGUUUUAUGUGUCCAGUGAUUUGUUUAUUGUCUCCCGCCUUCCCUGCGACUAGAAUGUGAGCACCGUGACUCCAGCAGGGUCUGUCUUGUUCCCUUGCUUAUACUGGUACCUGGCACACACUCAGCAGUGUUUUGUGGAAUGAAUGAAUGACCGAAUGAGAGGAGUCAGUAGGUAAAGGAUGAAGCUGAUGCUUACGGGGCAAGUUUGGUGUGAAGACAAACUUCUUAAUGGCAAGCUAAAUAGAUCCUUCUAGGUGGAGGAGGGGAAUGAGCAAUAAUUUAGAAAAGGGAAGAGGCCACGUACAGCCAUGUGGUCUGGUACACAGACCAUAAAGUGAGUGGUCCCCGCCCCCGCCAGUUGUACAGUUCUCAACUCAUACAGCAGUACCUGGCGCCCCAGGGGAUGGGGAAGAACCCGACAGUCUUGGGCCCCUCGGCGGGGAUGAGCAGAGGCAGCUCUGCAGGUGCCUGCAGCUGGAGGAACAGGCUGUACCUUCCACGAGGACGCCACGUGGUCGUGGUUAGCAGUUUGCCAUCCGGUGGCGUUGUCACCACAGACAGUGGUCCAACCAGGGGGAGCAACUGUUAUGCUGUUAGCAAUCUCUGGUGCCUGGAGUGCCCAGCGGGACGCGGGUGGGGAAACCACCUUGACACACCCCACAAACACCGAACGCGGUGGACGAAGAUAAUCGAGACAGCGGGAGGGAGGGCUGUUUCCUGAGGCAGCUCUGGAGGCGGAGGACACUGUGUUCCGAGACGUCUCCACUGAGCAGAGGGCUGGCUGAGCGACCGGUCUCGGCCUCCCCCCCUCCCCAGCCCCACAGGCUGGGCACAACAACAAUCAGCCUGUGGUGGUGGGGCCCGGCUUCGAUGAGUCACCUUGCCCACAGCGGGCCUUGCUGGGAGAUGUUAUCAGCGCUUCUGCUCACUUAAUUCCCUGGUUGACAUCACCACCGCCUCCAUCCUUUCCUUCUCGGCACUGCAGCCUGCAGCCUGGCGCAUCCUGGAAGAGAAGGCGGUGCAGGGCUCUUGCCAGGAGCUACCAGGGCGGGUAAAUUAGGACCCUCAGCUCUUUGGCCUUUAGCCUCCGGGCGCUUGGCUUAGUUCCUUGCUGCACACGGGCCUGGGUUCAUCUCCCAGGAAAUGCCAUCUGGAGUCAGGUCUGAGAGACACCGUCCCACUCCCGCCCCGUACCUGUCCCCUCCCUCCUGUUCAGAUGUGGGCCAAGCUGCUCCCCUGGGCAGUGUGUCCAGACCCUGGGGUCCAGUCCCCGAGUCCAGCCCUCCGCUGGCUCAAGCCUUCGCUCCUCAAUUCCAUCUUGUGCAAGCCCAGCUGCCUCUGACUGCGCUGCCUCCCUGUCCAGCCACCCUGCCUGGGGAUACAGCUCCCUCAGACAUCCUCCAGCUCCUUCCUCUGCCAUCCCCCGCUCUCGGGGCAGCCUCCUGGGAGCCCAAGCCAGUCCCUUCCCUCCGUAGCCCAGCAUUCCCUCUCUCCUCCCCUCAGUGUCACUGUUCCAGUGCUGAUCCAGUGUGGUCAGUGGCAUACGGAGGAUGCUAUGGGCUCAGCAGAGUGGUGAGUGACAGGGGUGACCAGAGACUGUGCUGUUCCUCCCUUUAGAGACGGACAGCAGGGGGGCGAAGCUCGGUGCCAGGAGAGAGGCUCAGGACCCGGUCUGUGAUGGGAGGCUGCCUGAGCCUGGCCUGCCAGGGAGGCGGUGAGGGAAGUGGGUGGGGAGGGUGGGGAGAAGAGCCAACCCUUUGAACUGCCCCAAGAGCAGCCUCUGUGGCCUCAGGAGACAGCGCCUCAAAUGUCGCUGCCCCGGGCCAGGGAAGGGGGAAGAGGAGGUUUCUUAACACCAGUCACUUUUACUCUAGUUAUUUGACCAAAACGAAUUGUUCUUAG